UACAGAGGGUGCAAGCGUUGUCCGGAAUGAUUGGGCGUAAAGCAUCUGUAGGUGGUUUCUAAAGUCAACUGUUAAAUCCCAGAGCUCAACUUUGGCCAAGCAGUUGAGUACUUAGAGACUUGAGUACGGUAGGGGUAGAGGGAAUUCCUUGUUUAGCGGUGAAAUGCAUAGAGAUAAGGAAGAACACCAGUGGCGAAAGCGCUCUACUGGGCCGUAACUGACACUGAGAGAUGAAAGUUAGGGGAGCGAAAAGG
RNAcentral lists this ribosomal RNA (254 nucleotides) under uncultured bacterium. Its description in RNAcentral is "partial 16S ribosomal RNA". It matches the Rfam family "Bacterial small subunit ribosomal RNA", at positions 524 to 776 of the family's 1533-position model. The record is from RNAcentral.